UAUGGUAAGCCAGCAGCCGCGGUAAUACGUAGGUGGCGAGCGUUAUCCGGAAUGAUUGGGCGUAAAGGGUGCGUAGGUGGCAGAACAAGUCUGGAGUAAAAGGUAUGGGCUCAACCCGUACUGGCUCUGGAAACUGUUCAGCUAGAGAACAGAAGAGGACGGCGGAACUCCAUGUGUAGCGGUAAAAUGCGUAGAUAUAUGGAAGAACACCGGUGGCGAAGGCGGCCGUCUGGUCUGUUGCUGACACUGAAGCACGAAAGCGUGGGGAGCAAAUAGG
RNAcentral lists this ribosomal RNA (277 nucleotides) under Holdemanella biformis DSM 3989. RNAcentral's name for it is "partial 16S ribosomal RNA". It matches the Rfam family "Bacterial small subunit ribosomal RNA", at positions 499 to 776 of the family's 1533-position model. The record is from RNAcentral. Lineage: Bacteria; Bacillati; Bacillota; Erysipelotrichia; Erysipelotrichales; Erysipelotrichaceae.